Molecule: ribosomal RNA, 497 nt
Filed under: uncultured bacterium
Lineage: Bacteria
Description: partial 16S ribosomal RNA
Rfam family: Bacterial small subunit ribosomal RNA
Source: RNAcentral
GACGAACGCUGGCGGCGUGCCUAAUACAUGCAAGUCGAACGGUGAAGAGAGGCUCUUGCUCUUCUUGGGUGAGGUGCGGACGGGUGAGUCACGCGUAUGUACCCUGCCUUGUAGCGGGGGAUAACGAUUGGAAACGAUAGCUAACAUCGCAUAACAGUGGGUGACACAUGUCUCUUAUUAGAACGGGGCAUUUGCUCCACUUCAAGCUGGACAGGCGUUGUAUUAGCUAGUGGGUGAGGUAAGGGCUCACCUAGGCGACGAUACAUAGCCGACCUGAGAGGGUGAUCAGCCACACUGGGACUGAGACACGGCCCAGACUCCUACGGGAGGCAGCAGUAGGGAAUCUUGGGCAAUGGGGGCAAGCCUGAUCGAGCAACGCCGCGUGAGUGAAGAAGGUUGUCGGAUCGUAAAGCACUGUUGUAAGGGAAGAACGGGAGUGAGAGUGGAAAGUUCAGUCUGUGACGGUAGCUUAGAAGAAAGGCACGGCUAACUACGUG